Molecule: ribosomal RNA, 431 nt
Filed under: uncultured bacterium
Lineage: Bacteria
Description: partial 16S ribosomal RNA
Rfam family: Bacterial small subunit ribosomal RNA
Source: RNAcentral
AACGAACGCUGGCGGCAUGCCUAACACAUGCAAGUCGAACGAGACCUUCGGGUCUAGUGGCGCACGGGUGCGUAACGCGUGGGAACCUGCCCUUAGGUUCGGAAUAACUCCCCGAAAGGGGUGCUAAUACCGGAUAAUGUCUUCGGACCAAAGAUUUAUCGCCUUUGGAUGGGCCCGCGUUGGAUUAACUAGUUGGUAGGGUAAAAGCCUACCAAGGCGACGAUCCAUAGCUGGUCUGAGAGGAUGAUCAGCCACACUGGGACUGAGACACGGCCCAGACUCCUACGGGAGGCAGCAGUGGGGAAUAUUGGACAAUGGGCGAAAGCCUGAUCCAGCAAUGCCGCGUGAGUGAUGAAGGCCUUAGGGUUGUAAAGCUCUUUUACCCGGGAUGAUAAUGACAGUACCGGGAGAAUAAGCUCCGGCUAACUCCG